RNAcentral lists this long non-coding RNA (12226 nucleotides) under Gossypium raimondii (Peruvian cotton). Its description in RNAcentral is "long non-coding RNA (GRAI_LNC003393)". Lineage: Eukaryota; Viridiplantae; Streptophyta; Magnoliopsida; Malvales; Malvaceae. The record is from RNAcentral.
CUCUUCUCAUGCUUCCUUCCUCUUCUCUUGUCUUUUUCACCUCCUCAAACUCAUCUCCCAAUGCAAUGCCUUGAUGACCAGAGAUCUCCUCUGCUGCAAUUGCAACAUCAUCUUUACUAUGCCCCUCAUUUUACUUUCUCUUCCAAAUUUGAGCUUUGGCACCCCAACACUGAUUGUUGCUCUUGGGAAGGAGUCACUUGUGAUGCUUAUGGUCAUGUCGUUGGCAUUGAUCUUAGUUACAAAAACCUUUCAGGCAGCUUUCACCCCAUAUUCAAUCUCCAUCGUCUUCAACGCCUUAAUCUUGUUGGAAACAACUUUAAUACCACUCUGUUUUCGUAUGGGUUUGAUAAACUCCAAAAUCUAACUCAUCUCAAUCUUUCAAGCUCAUGUUUCCAUGGCCAAAUUCCAGUGGAGAUCUCAUUCUUAAAAAAUUUAGUCUCUCUUGAUCUAUCCAAUCAAGAUUCUUGUUAUUUGAGAUAUUACAAAGUUCUUGUUGAAAGCUGGACUGCAAAGCAACAUGUGGCCAGCAGCAUGGUUGGCUGUCGAGCUUGGUGAUAAUGCUUGGUGUGCAAGACUGAAGCUGAACCAGAUGAAGCAAUCAACUUUGGAUGUUUUGUUCUUUUGUAAUUUAGUUUAGUUCAACUUUAACUAGUUUCCAAAGUUAGUUGGAUUAAGUUUGUGAUUGGAUUGAUGAUGUAAAAGCUGGUAUGUCAGCUUAUUUUGUAUUUGACUUAAGCUUGUAUUAGUUUAGUUUAAGUGGGAGCAGUUAUGUCAUUAGGUAACUGUCAAAUGAAUCAAAUUUGUAACUCUUUUAUAUAUUCAAAUUUUGAAUGAAAAAAAAAGGUGAAUGUUCAGUUACAAUUUGCUGAGUAUUCAAUUUUGUUCACUGUUUUUUGCUUUGCUUUGAUUUCUUUUGCUUCGAUACUUCUUGCUUCAGUUUUGCAAAUUCUGUUUUGCAACUUUGUUUUCUUUUUGCUGCUGCCAUUGUUCCAACAAAUGGUAUCAUGAGCCCGAGUCUUUGAGGGGCCUUUGUAUGCAAUCUGCAGCCACUUCAAUUAAAGAAUCCAAACUUCAAGACAUUAAUCAAGAAUUUGAGGUUUCUCACAGAGCUUUAUUUGGAUAGUGUGGACAUUUCAACUCAAAGUGCUAAAUGGUGUGAAACCACAUCUCUUAUACUUCCAAACCUGCAUGUGUUGAGUCUGUCAAGCUGUAGUUUGAAAGGUCCAUUAUGUUCUUCACUCUCAAGACUCUCUUUUCUUUCCAAACUUAUCCUUGAUUGGAACCCAAUCUCUUAUUUACCUCCCAAUUUCUUGGAAAUUUCCUCUCGUUUGGUUUCUCUCAGUUUGAGGAACUGCAAUUUGAGUGGCCAUUUUCCAAUUGAAAAUCUCUUAUCGCCAAAAAUUCAAAGCAUUGACAUUUCAUUCAACUUCCAACUUAUGGGUUAGUUGCCAGAAUUUCCAGCAAACAAUGCAUUAUUGAGUCUGUCACUUUUUGAGACAAAUUUCAGUGGAAAACUACCCCAAUCAAUUGGUAAUCUCAAGUUCUUGACUAAUUUAGAGCUUGAUGAUUGCAAUUUUUUUGGACCCAUUCCAUCGUCAAUUGCAAAUCUUAGUCACCUGGUCAACCUAGAUCUGGGAGGGAACAAGCUUUCUGGAUCAAUACAUUCUUCUUUAUUUACUCUUCCAUCGUUGAAGACCUUGUAUCUUGGAGAAAAUCAAUUGGUUGGGAAAAUUGACGAGUUCCCCAAUGCAUCUUCUUCUUUGAUUCAAGAAUUAAGUAUAGGAAAUAAUUAUUUAAGAGGAGCAAUCCCAAAGUCAAUUCUUCAACUCCCAAGGCUUGAAUGGCUUUAUAUCGAAAGCAAUAGCUUUAGUUCUAUGAAGCUUGACAUGUUUGUCCAAGUCAACAACUUAAGGACUCUCUGGCUAAACAAUAUAAGCUUGUUAAUUGAAAGCGACAACAGAAGUCUUACUUUUCCCAAUUAGAGAGUCUAAGCCUAUGGUCAUGCAACCUUACUGAAUUUCCAGAAUUCAUUAAAAGGCAAGACAAGUUGGUUGACUUAGAUCUUUCUAACAAUCAUAUCCAUGGUGUUGUGCCUAAUUGGUUGUGGAAGAGCAGUCUUUCAUCCUUACACCUUCCUUUCAAUGUGAUUGAUUUUCCAAAACAGCUUCCCUUAAAUGAUGCAAACUUCUCAUUUCCAAUGUUGACAGAAUUGGAUUUGAGAUCCUGUAACAUAAGUGCGUUUCCAGAGUUCUUAAAGAGUGUUGGAACAAAGAGACAAUAACAGGCUGUUUGUAUCUUGCUUGAAUAGCAAGCCUCGAGCCUUGUUGAAGAAACAAACUCAGAAGCAAAACAGAAAAUGAAACUAGCAGGCGAAUAACAGAAAAGAGAGAAGAAGAAUGAAUGAAAAAUGAGCUGAUAUUUUUUUCAUUAACUCAAAACAAGGCAUUAAGCCAUUACAUAUUUCAGUCAACAAGUAAAACAAACAAGUAAUCACCUAAUCAACUACCUAACUCCACUAAUUUGCAUUGAAACUUACAAGAUUAGCUUGUACAACUUGCAUUGCUGACUUUUCAGUCAAUCAAUAUCAAAACAUUUACCUACUUAGUUCAACAUGAACUAGAUUACAAAACAAUCAAAAUGAAACCAAAACAGCAAGUGGAUUGGCAGCUUCAAACUUCAGUUGCUGCACACAAUGGCACCACUGUUUGCUGCUAUUUCUUCGAGCAUGACCACCUUUGCAUGUCGUGCAUGGCCACCUUUGCAUGGGAACUAAACUUAACAAAGAGUCUAGAAAAUUUAAUAUUUCUCGACCUUUCAAUUAAUAAAAUAAGUGGUGCAAUACCAAACUGGGUGUGGAAGAAAAGUUUGCGGUCUCUGUAUCUUGCUAAUAACCAUCUCUCAUCUUUGGACCAACUUUUACCCAAUCAGAGUUCAACUUCUUCACAAACCUCCUCGACUAGACCUAUUUGCAAUUUGAGUCAACUUAGAAAUUUCGAUGCAUCUCAUAACAAUUUGAGCGGCACGAUUCCAAAUUGCUUAGGCAAAAUGAAUGAUCUCCUAUUGUUGGAUCUGCAAGGAAAUAACUUCAGUGGAAUGUUACCAAAAUUUUCAAAAGCAACCCACUUAUAUAUUCUCAAAGUUAGUGAGAAUAGAUUGGAAGGGAAGUUGCCCAGAUCAUUAGCUGAAUACACUCAGCUUGAAGUUUUGGACGUGGGAAACAACAAGAUGAAUGAUACAUUCCCUUUUUGGUUGGAGAAAUUGCCUUACUUGACGGUUCUAAUAUUGCGGGAAAACAGAUUUUAUGGUCAAAUUAAACAUUUCAAACAUAAAUCUGUUUUCCCAACUUUGGAUGUAUUGGACAUUGCUUCAAACCAGUUUUCUGGUGAACUAUCCAUUGAUUUCCUUCAACCCACUCGACUAAGGUCACUCAAAAUAGGUGGGAAUAAAUUGGAAGGGAAGCUGUCGAGAUCAUUAGCCAAUUGCACAGCACUUGAGGUUCUGGACCUUGGAAAUAAUAUGGUUCAUGAUACAUUCCCAUUUUGGUUAGAGAAGCUGCCUUCCUUGAAGGUUGUCAUUUUGCGAGCAAACAAAUUCUACGGACCAAUUACAAAAUUCAACACAGAACGUGGGUUUCCAAAGCUACGCAUAUUGGACAUUGCUUCCAACAAUUUUUCAGGCGACUUGUCCAUUGAAUUUUUGCAAAGCUUGAAGGCAAUGAUGUAGUUAACAAAUGAGGACAAAGCUAAGCUGGAUUACAUUGGAGAGAAUUAUUAUCAAGAUUCAGUGACAAUUUUCAACAAAGGGAUUGAGCUGUUUUACGAGAAAAUCUUAAACACUCUUACUUGUUUGACCUUUCCAACAAUAGUUUCCAUGGGAGAAUACCAGAAGAAAUACAAAUGCUGAGGUCACUCAAAGUGCUAAACUUGUCCUAUAAUAGCUUGUCCGGUGAAAUCCCAGUAGCAGUUCAAAACCUAAAAGAUCUGGAGUCUUUGGAUCUCUCACAGAAUGAGCUAUCAGGGAAGAUUCCUCCACAGCUUACAACUCUAACUUUCCUAGAGGCACUGAACUUGUCUUACAACCCACUUGAAGGGAGCAUACCGCAAGGCAACCAAUUCAGUACAUUUUCAAAUGAUUCUUAUCGUGGGAAUCCAAAAUUAUGCGGUCAACCAUUGUCCAAGAAAUGCAAUGAAGACGGUCUUCCAGUGCCACCGCCUCCAGGGGAAGAGGAACAGUCAUGGUUAUAUGCUAUAUCAACUUGGAAAAUUGUUUUGAUAGGUUAUGGUAGUGGUUUGGUCGCUGGGCUAUGUAUCGGAUAUACAGUGUUGAAUGAGUUGGGAAACAAAUGGGUUGACAAGUUCAAAAAACAUGGGAAAAGAAACAGAAGAAGAUCUAGGUGACUGUGUCAGACUUCAUAUAUUAAAGUCAACAGGUAAACAUUUCCUUUUGAAACUAUAGUCUUUAUAUUUUGAAAAGAUUGAUGACGUUUCAAACUAAUUUUGGAUCAUAUAUACAACAUUACAAUUCCUUAAAUUAAGCAGCAGGAGUGGUGACACAGUGAUUUUGUUUUUCCUAUGCAAUAUUCCCAUAUUUGCAUGCUUAUGAGAAGUUAUAUUCUUGGUGGUUUGACUUGUAUUUCUUAUUUUGUCACAGGGAAAUGACCUCUGUCCUUAUAAGCUUCAAGUCAUUGCAUGUCAUUGGUGGCAAUGAAUCAUUUUAAGUAGAAAACCACGCAAAGUAUGAUAAUUUUUGUUUGGGUUUUUGUGCUAUAUAUUUUAUCAAACACAUGUUGGGCUUUAGGCUCGGGUGUAAUGGGUAGAUCUAUUGGUCCGGGUUUUAGUGCAGUCUGACAUUUGUUUUGUACAAAUAAUUUAUUUAUCUUUUAAUAACAGUUUUAUUACUUUAAAAAUAAGUAAAUAAAAUAUAAUGAAAAAUUAGAUAUCUUAAAAAUAUGGUCCGUUUUCCGGAGUUUACAAACAAUGUAAAACACUAUAAAUAUGAUAGCUUUUUCAAAUGAUUCUCCCAUUAUGAAACAUUUAACAGAAUUUGCAUAAAUGAAAUAUUUAUUUACAAGAAAUAAAAAUUAGCCAUGUUAUGCAUAUGAAAAACGUGAUAAUUUGCAAGUGAAAUGAGAAGCUUCAUAUUCUAAUUUUCAGGCCAACAGUCUGAGAAGAAAGCACAGAUUGGCAGAAUAAAGUUGAGAAAAGGAGAAGCAUAUGGCGAAAAGGUUAAUCCCAAAACCGAUAUGCUGCACUCGACGUUCUCUUACAUGUAGUUUGUAUCAUACGCGGAUGGUUGGAUCUUAUUAUUUUAGGAUUUAGUUUACCCAACCGUGAACUUCUGCUUUAAAUACAAUAAUCCUAUUCUAAAUUGGUAUUGGGAUUAGUCAAUUUAUUCUUUCAAUGAUAGUUUUAUUACUUUAAAAAAAUACCCUUCAAUUAAACAUUGUAUGUAAUAAUAUGAUAAUAAUAAUUAAAAUAUAAUGAAAGAAAUUAUGUCUUACAGUCUAGUAAAGGCCAACAAUGUGUCACACUAUCAUUACAAUGUACACAUACUUUGUAGAGAAAUUUAUCCAAUGAAACAGAGGAUGAAACCAGUUUCCCAGAUGCAGGGAAGAAUUGGUAUGCUACAAUAUUACUAAGAAAAAUACUAAUAACAAAAAAAUGGUAAUGGAAUCACCGUUGUUAGUUUUUAGUGUUUUUUUUUGAGGUAUUAUAUAUUUGUAUUUGACCUAUGUUUAUAAUGGUGACCAGACCUGUUAUUUAUAUUUUUGAGAUCCUAGGCGAAACAAUAAAUUAGGGUCUUGUUUAAAAAAUAUUAAAUGUAAUACAAUAAAACAAAAAAAAUAAGCCCUUUUAUUUUAUAUUUUUUUUUGCCUGCAAUAAAUCGAAAGACUUAAAAAGUUAAAAAUUUCAUGUUAAAAACUGGAAAAAGAAACUUUUUGAGCCCUAAACGGUCACACUCCAAAACUACUCUAAAGUCGGGUUGAAAACAACCCAACAAAUUCCAAUCAAAUCCCAAGCUCCAAAAUUGGAAUUAACAAAUGGAAAAACAAAAAGACGUUGGUAAAGCAAAGUAAGUGUGAAAGAUAUGAAGAGUAAGAAGAGAGUAUGAAAAUUUUGAAAAUUGUAAAUUAGGAUGACUUUAAAAUAUGGGGAAGAUUCAUGGGUUUGAAAUCAAUGAUUUUGCAGUUUCUCUUUGUUGAUUUGGUGGAUGUUUCCCACUACUUUUGCUUUUAAUGCUUCCCAUUAUAUACUUGGAAAUUGGGAUUACUUUUGCCACUCAUUUCUCAUGUUUGUUUGGCCAAUAAAGAUUAUUUGCAUAAAGCAACAAUGGGGCAAUAGGCUGCAAUAUUUCCACAUGCCUCUCAAACAUUUUACUCCAAUUUUAUGGAUUUUUUAUAUUUUUUUAAAAAAUUAACAUAUUUUUCUACCUUUCUUCUUUCUCUUCUCAUCCUCUCUUUCUCAAUCUCACCUCCCCGAAAAGAGCAAUGAAAGAAGCGACAAAAGGGUCCUUGGCUGUUUGUGAUGAUGCACUUACAUAUACUCACUUCUAUACGAUUCAUGUAAAUCCUUUCUAUAACUUAUUUCCUUGGAAGCAUUCCUCUGUUAGAGCAACUAAUCCAAAUUCUUAAAUCCAGAUACUGAAUUUUUUUUUUCUUUUCUCUCGAUUUUGUAGCAGGGGCCAAACUCCCCAAUGUCUUGGCUACCAAUCUUCUUUAAUUUAAUCGAACUCAUUUAUGGUAAGGAUGAGUUUUGGAAUGCUCUAUGAAUAUUGUGAGUUGAACAUGAGUAGCAUACUUGACAUGCAAAAUCUAAUAUCAAGAAUCUCCCUUGUGAGAUUCAUUUUUGCUUCAAUUCACAGCCAUUUGGGGUAUGUAAUUUGUCUCUAGCACUGAACUUUCAUGCCAAUAAUGCUAUAUUAUAAACAAGGGUCAUGGCUUUUCCAAGCCUUCUUUAAUAUGAAUUUACUCUUUAGUUCAGAAUUUUAUUUUCAAAUUAUUUUUGUGCAGCUUGGAAGAUAAUAUGAUGAGUUAGUGUUGAUGAAAGCCACAUUUAACAGAGUGAUUCUGCAAAGAGACACCACUGCUAGAUGUGCCUCUUUGAAACGGGACAAGCUCAAGCAAAGAUCGUUAACUUUAUCUUUGAAAACAAUGGUAAAAGUUUCUAACUAAUUAUCUUUUCCUUGACAUCUUCUUUAAUCAUGAUUGAAUUAAGUUUAAGCAUAUGAAAGACAUGACUGUUGGUAGAUAAAUGAGAAGCUUCAUAUUCUAAUUUUCAGGCUAAUGGUCUAAGAAGACAGUAAGGCGUGUUGAUUGCAGUUUGUUAUCUAUUCUAUGGAAAAGAAAACGUGCAUUGCCAACAUAAAGUACAGAAAGGAUAUGCAUAAGGUGCAAAGGCUUAUCACCGAAGCAAGUCUGCAUCUUGUUUAAGGUGGCUCAUGUUCUCUUACAUGUAAUUUGCAUGAAAUCGUAUUAUCUUAGGAUUAUACUGGAGUGCCACCAGCAGUUGACCUCACUGGCAUGUGAGACACUGUUAAGAAUCUUGACAAUGAUCUUAACAAGAUUAAUCCACUAGUUUGUAAUUUUCCCUCUAUAUUUUACCAGGAGUAUAUAACUUAUUUACUUCUAUAUCUUGCAAUUUAUGCAGCCCCUGAGCAUGGUAUAGCUUGGUGUUGGUAGACACAUCGUCCAAGAACUUACAAGAUGUUGAGAAAGCAUAGUGUCGGCAAAAUUUUUGAGUUUUAUGGUUAAGUCUAUGAUCAUAAAUCUUAACAACAGAAUGAUUUUACUAUAAACAAUUUCAGGUUUAUAGGACUUUAUCAUCAAUGUAACUAUUUUUAAUGUGGUUAUAGGAGAGGGUUUGGCUGAAUUAUCAUUAGCUAAUCAUGGUCGAGCCAUUAGGACUAAUAGCUUCAUCAUCAUCCUUUGCUGUGAUAUGACUCUGGCUUGAAUUUAAAGAAAAUAUGAAGUACUUAUAAUGAGAGAGAAAAUUACUUAGCUAAGAGAAGAAAUCAUUUACUUCAACCAAAUUAUCCCCGGUAGAAAUAAAAGCCAAAAGAAUUAAAUUCAUUCAAAACAAAAAUUGUAGGGAUUAGUUUUAUAAUUUUACUUAAAUUUUCAUUUCAACAGGAGGACGCAGGUUCGAGUACAUUGAAGUGCAUUAUCCUCUUAUUUAUGGGUUGGGGAGAGACUAUGGGUAGUUUUAAGGCAUUGUAUCAAAAUAAUAGAUUUAAUCAAAACCUAUAAUGUAAAAAGUUGCUACUAAAAAGUUUAAAAAAUAGAAUUUUUAGUUUCCUUUUGUUUAUUUAUUUAUUUUUUUCAUAAUAUCUUUUAUGUAUAUUUGAAGUGUUUUGGGUUUGAUUUUUAAUCAUUAUAAUCAAAAACCCAAUUUUGUACUAAUAAAUCACACCAUUGUUAGUUUUUAGUGUUAUCUUUUGAGGUAUUAUAUAUUUGUAUUUGACCUAUGUUUAUAAUGGUGAUCAGACCCGUUUUUGAUAUUUUUGAGACCCUAGGCGAAACAAUAAAUCAAGGUUUUGUUUAAAAAAUUAUUAAAUGUAAUACAAAAAUUAAAAAAAUUGAGCCUUUUUUAUUUUAUAUUUUUUCUGCCUGCAAUAAAUCGAAAGACUAAAAAAGUUAAAAAAAUUCACUUUAAAAAUAAAUAAAAAAAAAAACUUUUUGAGUUCUGGACGGCCACACUCUCAAACUACCUUAAAGUCAGGUUGACGGUGACUAGAAAACAACCCAACAAAUUCCAAUCAAAUCCCAAGCUCCAAAAUUGGAAUUAACAAAUAGAAAAACAAAAAGACGUUGGUAAAGCAAAGUAAGUGUGAAAGAUAUGAAGAGUAAGAAGAGAGUAUGAAAAAUUUGAAAAUUGUAAAUUAGGAUGACUUUAAAAUAUGGGGAAGAUUCAUGGGUUUGAAAUCAAUGAUUUUGCAGUUUCUCUUUGUUGAUUUGGUGGAUGUUUCCCACUACUUUUGCUUUUAAUGCUUCCCAUUAUAUACUUGGAAAUUGGGAUUACUUUUCCCACUCAUUUCUCAUGUUUGUUUGGCCAAUAAAAGAUUAAUUGCAUAAAGCAACAAUAGGGCAAUAGGCUGCAAUAUUUCCACAUGCCUCUCAAACAUUUUACUCCAAUUUUAUGUUUUUUUUUAAAUUAACAUAUUUUUAAAUUUUUAAAUUUGAUAUUUGAUCCAUAUACUUUAAAAGUUAAAAUUUCAAUUCUUCUACUUUUUUAAUUUAAAAAUCAUAAUCAAACCAUUAUCGUCGUUGAUAGUUUUUGUCAAAAUUUGUCAAUUUAAUAUGUUUAUUUCUAUCAAUCAUAUGUCACGUCAUAAGAUGACACGUUAAUCAAAAUUUUAAGUUAACAAGUUUUAUAAAAAAUACUUGCGAUUUAAUGAUUGCACUGAGAUUUUUAACUUUCUAACUUUUUAAAUAUAUGAACUAAAUCUUAAAAUAUUUAAUAAUAGAAAAUAUAAAAAAUAUUAAAAUUAAAUAAUAAUAUAGAAAUGAAAUUUUUUCUUCAAAUUUCUCAUCCAAAUACAGUCUAGAAAAGUUUUAAAGAUGAAAUUUAAAUAUAUGUUUGUUUCAAAAGUGGAAAAUUCUAUAUAUUGGAUCAUCAAAAUUUUCACUUAUUGUGUCCAUCAAUCUAGCUAAGACUUAACUUGUACACAAUAGUUCAACGUUGUUUUUGUCCAUUAUUAAUUACUUGGACAUUUGCAUACAAUGCCAAAUACUUAAUACUUAAGGCCUAUAAUAUUUCCACACUAUCAUUUUUGGUCCAAAAUUAAAGAUAUUAAAAUUUUCAAUUUAAACCAUUAUGAUUUAAAACUCGAUGUAUAAUUUUGAGAUAUAAAGUGAUUUAAUUCUUUGAUAAAUUAUAACAUAUUUACAAAUUCGAUACUCAUUAACAAAUUAAUUUUACAUUAUAAGUUAAAUUAUUUUAUAAUUUUUGUUGAGAGAGAUCAAUUUGUUAAUUUUUAAAAUUAACAGGGACUAAAGGAGUAUGUACAUCAAUCUGUUGUUUGAAUUAUUCGAGUUUUUCAUUAUAAAAUUUAACUUGAAACUCGAAUUGUAAACAUUUUUAAUAAAUAUAAAACAUAAAAAAUAUUAAAAUAAAAUAAUAAUUAAAUAAUGAUAUAGAAAUGAAAAUAUUUCUCCAAAUUUCUCACCCAUAUAUGCUCUAAGGAAGUUUCAAAGCUGAAAUUUAAAUAUGUUUCUUUCAAAAGUGAAAAAUUCUACAUAUUUUAUUAUAAAAAAAAUUCACUCAUUGUGUCUAUCAAUCUAUAAUGUGACUUGACUUGUACACAGUGGUUGAACGUUGUUUUUGUGCAAUAAAAACUUAGACAUUUGCAUGCAAUGCCAAAGACGACCUAAGACUUAAAAGUCCUAUAAUAUUUCUAACUAUCAUUUUUUCUGGUCCAAAAUUAACCCUUUGAUAAAUCAUAACAUAUUUACAACUUGGAUACAAAUUAACAAAUUGAAUUUAUAUUAUAAGUUAAAUUUUAUUUUUUUGGUGCUAAAACAAAAUUUACUUAAAAAAAUAAAUGAUGUAGAAAUAAUUAUAUAUAACAUAAAAAAUGAUAAAAUUUACCUGAGUUUGAAAUAAUUUAAAGUUAAAAUAUUUGUAACAUCGAUUUUUGUUCCUAAAAAGUCCAUACCUAAAAUAUAUAAUUUAAACUCAAAAUAUCCGUUGAAUUAUUAUCUUUGCUCAUUCUAUGCGUAAUAAUGGUUCUAAUAGGGUUUAAAGUACAUUUUUAUUGCUAUAAUUUUGUCUUUUUAAUGACUUCGAUUUAGUAAGGCGUGGACAAGAAAACUACAACAUUGGCAUUAAUAAGUUAAUGAGAUUGAUAAAAUAUUAAAAUCUCACUCUUCAAAAUUAAAAUUAGCAAAAAAAGAAAGAGGUAAGGCAAAUUAAGUGUGAAUUUAACAACUUAUUUCUAAUACUAACAAUAAAUAAUUUAUGCAUCAUCACUAACAGCUUUAAAUAAUACAUUAUUAUCCCUUGCUUUUGUAUGUUGGAAAAAAUUGACCAAAAAGACUUAACUGAAGUGGUGGAACAGCAUUUUGAUGGAGUCUUGAUUUGGCAAAAUGACUUAGAAAUUGCAUGCAUUGCCAAUCACUCAUAAAUAAGUUGUAUGCCAAACACAAUCCUCCUUCACACCCACCCAACAUGAACACUCUUCAUUCCCUUAUUUCUUCACUCUCUCUCUUCUCAUGCUUCCUUCCUCUUCUCUUGUCUUUUUCACCUCCUCAAACUCAUCUCCCAAUGCAAUGCCCUGAUGACCAGAGAUCUCCUCUGCUGCAAUUGCAACAUCAUCUUUACUAUGCCCCUCAUUUUACUUUCUCUUCCAAAUUUGAGCUUUGGGAUCCCUACACUCAUUGCUGCUCUUGGAAAGGAGUCUCUUGUGAUGCUCUUGGUUAUGUCGUUGGCGUUGAUCUUAGUAAUAGAAACCUUUCCGGCAGUUUUCACUCCAUUUUCCGUCUCCGUCAUCUUCAACGCUUGAAUCUUUCUGGAAACUACUUUAAUACCACUUUGCUUUCUUAUGGGUUUCACAAACUCCAAAAUCUAACCCAUCUCAAUCUUUCAAGCUCAUGUUUCCAUGGCCAAAUUCCAGUGGAUAUCUCAUACUUAACGAGGUUAGUCUCUCUUGAUCUAUCUAAUCAAGAUUCUUGUUAUUCGCGAUACUACAUCAUUCUUGACCCAUAUAGAGGCGUCCGCAACUACUAUGAUCCAUUGCCUUACGAACUUCAACAGCCUCUUAAAUUAGAGAAACCAAACUUCAAGACAUUAAUCAAGAAUUUGAGGUUUCUCACAGAGCUUUAUUUGGAUGGGGUAAACAUUUCAACUCAAAGUGCUAAAUGGUGUGAAACCACAUCUCUUGUACUUUCCAACCUGCGUGUGUUGAGUCUGUCACACUGUGUUUUGAAAGGUCCAUUAUGUUCUUCACUCUCAAGACUCUCUUUUCUUUCCAACCUUAUCCUUGAUUGGAACCCAAUCUCUUAUUUACCUCCCAAUUUCUUGGAAAUUUCGUCUCAUUUGGUUUCUCUCAGUUUAAUGGGUUGCAAUUUGAGUGGCCAUUUUCCAACUGAAAUUCUCUUAUCGCCAAAAAUUCAAAGCAUUGACAUUUCAGCUAAUUACCAACUUAUGGGUCAGUUGCCAGAAUUUCCAGCAAACAAUGCUUUACAGAUUUUGUCACUUUUUUAUACAAAUUUCAGUGGAAAACUACCUGA